UAAGACCAGCCCACCAAAUGAUCACCUAAAGCAAGGAAUAAUGGAAACUUUUUCAACAUCCCAAGAAAUCCUGUAAGAAAAUAUUCUGACAGAAAUGUAGCCAUACCUGCUCACUGAAACUUAUUUUUUCACUUUCAGACUUUUUAGUGAGGUUUGAUAAGAAGGAUAGGGGAAAAACAAAUGCUGCUCUUCCGGCAAGUACUAGGCCCAAUAAUACUGAACUAACAGCAACAGAUGUUUUCGGCCUGCAGAAGAAACCGAGUGAGGUAAACGAGUUGUUUUCUAAACUAAUUAAAAUAAACUUUUGAGGAAACCAUUUUUAACUAGGAGAUACAUGAUUUAACAGUCUUCGUAAGUAAAAAAGGGCAAGGUGUUGAUGAUUAUUUUCACUAGCCUAGUCUCUGACAGAAUGCAGGACUUACCUAUCGCUUACAAACCUCCACUUUUCAAUGUCCAACGCAUCCAUACCAACAUAAAGGAAGAUAAAGGUUUCAAGAACAAAUGAGAGAGUUGCAAAAGCGUGUCUGUGACAGCAAGACAAAACAAAUUAGACAGU
Molecule: long non-coding RNA, 556 nt
Filed under: Phaseolus vulgaris (common bean)
Lineage: Eukaryota; Viridiplantae; Streptophyta; Magnoliopsida; Fabales; Fabaceae
Description: long non-coding RNA (PVUL_LNC002684)
Source: RNAcentral